RNAcentral lists this ribosomal RNA (484 nucleotides) under uncultured bacterium. Its description in RNAcentral is "partial 16S ribosomal RNA". It matches the Rfam family "Bacterial small subunit ribosomal RNA", at positions 30 to 507 of the family's 1533-position model. The record is from RNAcentral.
AUUGAACGCUGGCGGCAGGCCUAACACAUGCAAGUCGAGCGGAUGAAGGGAGCUUGCUCCUGGAUUCAGCGGCGGACGGGUGAGUAAUGCCUAGGAAUCUGCCUGGUAGUGGGGGAUAACGUCCGGAAACGGGCGCUAAUACCGCAUACGUCCUGAGGGAGAAAGUGGGGGAUCUUCGGACCUCACGCUAUCAGAUGAGCCCAGGUCGGAUUAGCUAGUUGGUGGGGUAAAGGCCUACCAAGGCGACGAUCCGUAACUGGUCUGAGAGGAUGAUCAGUCACACUGGAACUGAGACACGGUCCAGACUCCUACGGGCGGCAGCAGUGGGGAAUAUUGGACAAUGGGCGAAAGCCUGAUCCAGCCAUGCCGCGUGUGUGAAGAAGGUCUUCGGAUUGUAAAGCACUUUAAGUUGGGAGGAAGGGCAGUAAGUUAAUACCUUGCUGUUUUGACGUUACCAACAGAAUAAGCACCGGCUAACUUCGUG